Molecule: ribosomal RNA, 305 nt
Filed under: uncultured bacterium
Lineage: Bacteria
Description: bacterial SSU rRNA
Rfam family: Bacterial small subunit ribosomal RNA
Source: RNAcentral
CGACCUACGGGAGGCAGCAGUGGGGAAUAUUGCACAAUGGGGGAAACCCUGAUGCAGCGACGCCGCGUGAGUGAUGAAGUAUUUCGGUAUGUAAAGCUCUAUCAGCAGGGAAGAUAAUGACGGUACCUGACUAAGAAGCUCCGGCUAAAUACGUGCCAGCAGCCGCGGUAAUACGUAUGGAGCAAGCGUUAUCCGGAUUUACUGGGUGUAAAGGGUGCGUAGGUGGCAGGGCAAGUCAGAUGUGAAAGCCCGGGGCCCAACCCCGGUACUGCAUUUGAAACUGUCCGGCUGGAGUGCAGGAGAGG